CCGCCCGUCACGCUAUGGAAGCCGCUAACACCUGAAGUCGCUGAGCUAACCGCAAGGAGGCAGGCGCCGAGGGAGUGGCUGGCGAUUGGGGUG
Molecule: ribosomal RNA, 93 nt
Filed under: uncultured bacterium
Lineage: Bacteria
Description: partial 16S ribosomal RNA
Source: RNAcentral